This 739-nucleotide ribosomal RNA is filed under the name uncultured archaeon. RNAcentral describes it as "bacterial SSU rRNA". It matches the Rfam family "Archaeal small subunit ribosomal RNA", at positions 1 to 750 of the family's 1478-position model. The record is from RNAcentral.
UUCCGGUUGAUCCUGCCGGACCCGACUGCUAUCAGAGUGAGAUUAAGCCAUGCGAGUCAACGUAGUAACACGUGGCACACGGCUCAGUAACACGUAGUCAACAUAACCAAGGGACGUGGAUAAACUCGGGAAACUGAGGCUAAACCGCGAUAGAUCAAGAUACCUGGAAUGGUUUUUGAUCAAAAUCUAUAUGGCCUUUGGAUUGGACUGCGUCCGAUCAGGCUGUUGGUGAGGUAAUGGCCCACCAAACCUGUAACCGGUACGGGCUCUGAGAGGAGGAGCCCGGAGAUGGGUACUGAGAAAAGGACCCAGGCCCUAUGGGGCGCAGCAGGCGCGAAACCUCUGCAAUAGGCGAAAGCCUGACAGGGUUACUCUGAGUGACUUUCGCUAAGAAAGUCUUUUGGCACCUCUAAAAAGGGUGCAGAAUAAGGGGUGGGCAAGUCUGGUGUCAGCCGCCGCGGUAAUACCAGCACCCCGAGUGGUCGGGACGAUUAUUGGGCCUAAAGCAUCCGUAGCCGGUUCUGCAAGUCUUCCGUUAAAUCCAGCCGCUCAACGGAUGGGCCGCGGAGGAUACUACAGGACUAGGAGGCGGGAGAGGCAAGCGGUACUCAGUGGGUAGGGGUAAAAUCCUUUGAUCCAUUGAAGACCACCAGUGGCAAGGCGGCUUGCCAGAACGCGCUCGACGGUGAGGGAUGAAAGCUGGGGGAGCAAACCGGAUUAGAUACCCGGGUAGUCCCAG